GAUGAACGCUGGCGGCGUGCCUAAUGCAUGCAAGUCGAGCGAACGGACGAGAAGCUUGCUUCUCUGAUGUUAGCGGCGGACGGGUGAGUAACACGUGGAUAACCUACCUAUAAGACUGGGAUAACUUCGGGAAACCGGAGCUAAUACCGGAUAAUAUUUUGAACCGCAUGGUUCAAAAGUGAAAGACGGUCUUGCUGUCACUUAUAGAUAGAUCCGCGCUGCAUUAGCUAGUUGGUAAGGUAACGGCUUACCAAGGCAACGAUGCAUAGCCGACCUGAGAGGGUGAUCGGCCACACUGGAACUGAGACACGGUCCAGACUCCUACGGGAGGCAGCAGUAGGGAAUCUUCCGCAAUGGGCGAAAGCCUGACGGAGCAACGCCGCGUGAGUGAUGAAGGUCUUCGGAUCGUAAAACUCUGUUAUUAGGGAAGAACAUAUGUGUAAGUAACUGUGCACAUCUUGACGGUACCUAAUCAGAAAGCCACGGCUAACUACGUG
This 497-nucleotide ribosomal RNA is filed under the name uncultured bacterium. RNAcentral's name for it is "partial 16S ribosomal RNA". It matches the Rfam family "Bacterial small subunit ribosomal RNA", at positions 28 to 507 of the family's 1533-position model. The record is from RNAcentral.